Molecule: ribosomal RNA, 468 nt
Filed under: uncultured bacterium
Lineage: Bacteria
Description: partial 16S ribosomal RNA
Rfam family: Bacterial small subunit ribosomal RNA
Source: RNAcentral
GACGAACGCUGGCGGCGUGCUUAACACAUGCAAGUCGAACGGAAAGGCCCUGCUUUUGUGGGGUGCUCGGGUGGCGAACGGGAGAGGAACACGUGAGUAACCUGCCCUUGACUUUGGGAUAACUUCAGGAAACUGGGGCUAAUACCGGAUAGGAGCUCCUGCUGCAUGGGGGGGGUUGGAAAGGUUCGGCGGUUGGGGAUGGACUCGCGGCUUAUCAGCUUGUUGGUGGGGUAGUGGCUUACCAAGGCUUUGACGGGUAGCCGGCCUGAGAGGGUGACCGGCCACAUUGGGCCUGCGAUACGGCCCAGACUCCUACGGGAGGCAGCAGUGGGGAAUAUUGCACAAUGGGCGGAAGCCUGAUGCAGCAACGCCGCGUGCGGGAUGACGGCCUUCGGGUUGUAAACCGCUUUCGCCUGUGACGAAGCGUGAGUGACGGUAAUGGGUAAAGAAGCACCGGCUAACUACGUG